UAAUUGAAAUGCUUAUAACACUUUUAACGACAGUACAUAAUUCAAAGGAUUUCAUAAAAUACCCUACUGGCGUCCCAAGUAGGUCACCUAUAUACCCCAUCAGCGUCCUGAUGGGUCCACUUAAUCCCUAUCGACGUCCCAGAUAGGUCCACUUAAUCCCUGCAGGUCCACUUAUACCUCACCGGUGUACCGGAUGAGUCCACUUAAACCCUACCGGCGUCCCAGAUAGGUCCACUUAUACCUCACCGGCGAACCGGAUGAGUCCACUUGCAUACUUAAAUUAUUUCUAAAUCUCUUUAAACAUUCGAAAGCAGCAAUAUCAUGUACUCAACAUAUCACUGAAACCAUUAAUAUGAAUUUCACUUAAACCAUUAAUAACAGUCACUCUCUAUAACAUUUCAAAAAUAACCAAUCAAAUAUU
Molecule: long non-coding RNA, 421 nt
Filed under: Amborella trichopoda
Lineage: Eukaryota; Viridiplantae; Streptophyta; Magnoliopsida; Amborellales; Amborellaceae
Description: long non-coding RNA (ATRI_LNC004540)
Source: RNAcentral